Small nucleolar RNA from Pipistrellus kuhlii (Kuhl's pipistrelle), 139 nucleotides. RefSeq annotates it as small nucleolar RNA SNORA43. The record is from RefSeq and is a predicted model, not a curated record. Lineage: Eukaryota; Metazoa; Chordata; Mammalia; Chiroptera; Vespertilionidae. The transcript has a single exon.
CGGGUGCAGGACCUGCCGGCACCACAGCCCGGCUGCCAUGCUGCACCUGUGACGGAGGCCAGGGAGCAGAGGAAGGGGCUAUUUCUAUGCUCAGCGCCCCAAGCAGUGGGCGCUGGGAAUGGUUUGUAGCCUGACAUGC